This 76-nucleotide transfer RNA is filed under the name Chloroflexota bacterium. Its description in RNAcentral is "tRNA-Asp". It matches the Rfam family "tRNA". From Rfam's summary of the family: Transfer RNA (tRNA) molecules are approximately 80 nucleotides in length. Their secondary structure includes four short double-helical elements and three loops (D, anti-codon, and T loops). RNAcentral also lists the same sequence under 1 other name. Lineage: Bacteria; Bacillati; Chloroflexota. The record is from RNAcentral.
GGCCCGGUGGUGUAGCGGUUAACAUAUUGGCCUGUCAAGCCAAAGAUCGUCGGUUCGAAUCCGAUCCGGGUCGCCA